This 260-nucleotide long non-coding RNA is filed under the name Mytilus galloprovincialis (Mediterranean mussel). The record is from RNAcentral. Lineage: Eukaryota; Metazoa; Mollusca; Bivalvia; Mytilida; Mytilidae.
UCCGUAUUUUACUUAUAAAUGGACUUAGUUUUUCUUCCAGUUAACAUUACAUACAGUCUGCAGUUAAAGUUUAUAAAACAUUUAUUAGAUUCAUAAAUUAUCCUGGAUUUUUUUUUACCAAACUUGGAAGCUUCUUUCAAUCAAAAGACAGUAUCGUGAGGGAAAUUUUUAUUGAUGUUUUUCCUCAUUUUUGUUGAGUCUGCGAUUAACAGAAAAAGUAGGCGAGACACCAGGUUCCGUGGAACCCUUACGAAUUUUUU